AGAGUUUGAUUAUGGCUCAGGAUGAACGCUGGCGGCGUGCUUAACACAUGCAAGUCGAACGGAGUUAUAUUUUGAGAUCUUCGGAUGGAUGAGAUAUAACUUAGUGGCGGACGGGUGAGUAACGCGUGGGGAACCUGCCCCAUACCGGGGGACAACAGUUGGAAACGACUGCUAAUACCGCAUAAGCGCACGGGAGGACAUCCUCCAGUGUGAAAAACUCCGGUGGUAUGGGAUGGCCCCGCGUCUGAUUAGGCAGUUGGCGGGGUAACGGCCCACCAAACCGACGAUCAGUAGCCGACCUGAGAGGGCGAACGGCCACAUUGGGACUGAGACACGGCCCAAACUCCUACGGGAGGCAGCAGUGGGGAAUAUUGCACAAUGGGGGAAACCCUGAUGCAAGCGACGCCGCGUGAGUGAGGAAGUAUUUCGGUAUGUAAAGCUCUAUCAGCAGGGAAGAAAAUGACGGUACCUGACUAAGAAGCCCCGGCUAACUACGUGCCAGCAGCAGC
Molecule: ribosomal RNA, 509 nt
Filed under: uncultured bacterium
Lineage: Bacteria
Description: bacterial SSU rRNA
Rfam family: Bacterial small subunit ribosomal RNA
Source: RNAcentral